ACGUAGUUAGCCGAUCCUUAUUCACGUGGUACCGUCCUUCGUCUUCCCACGUAAAAGAGCUUUACAAUCCGAAGACCUUCAUCGCUCACGCGGCGUUGCUGCCUCGGACUUUCGUCCAUUGGGCAAUAUUCCC
This 133-nucleotide ribosomal RNA is filed under the name uncultured bacterium. Its description in RNAcentral is "partial 16S ribosomal RNA". The record is from RNAcentral.